UAGGUAGAAUAAGUAUUGUAUGGGAAAUCUAGUAUUUGUUAAGUUAUCCGAUCUCGAUGGAUUUCUUGGCCCUUGAAGUGCGGGCCUACUAAUAUCGGAAUUGUGAAUGCCGCCAAAAAUGUGCUUCUCAUUGUCUUGUGAAUUGUAGGAGGGCACACUGCGAAUAAAACGUCAACCACGACCGCGCGUACGCCAGGCGCACGCCGCCCUUGAAGUAUCCCUCUCUUCGGACCUACGCGUGUGGGGUAGUCGUUUAAGGCAACUCCAUAUGAAGCAAGACAACUCCUUUUAUUCGCAGCCCUAGGGACCUGCAAGGGCAACUUGCGCUGGAGGACGACUUGGCGACCAGCUAGAGAGUUGCCAGGAGCAUUCCCGUACCAGUAGAGGAGUCGCAGACAGCGACAUAGAGGAGCGCAGACAGCGCCGAACACUGGGUACGCAGCAUUCCCCCAAGAGGAGUUCGCGGCUGAGAGGAGGGGACGCCACCCCUACAGCAGCGCGAGCGGAUCCGCAGCCAGCGAGUAGUGGAGCAGAAAACCGGCCGCGGCGGCGGACAUUUCUAGCCCAGCCACUACGGUGACUACAGUAGCGUCCCAACUCAGGAGUACUGCUGUCACAGCUGCGAGUUCAGAGCCGGAGAUGUGCCAGCCCCUCACGUCGGACCUUUUGAAAAGGAUUGUGGCUUUGGAGGAGGAGCUGAAGCAGGUUAAAACCCUGAACGGUGACAUCAAGGAGAUGUUCCACCAAGUGCUGAUCCGACCCUAGGAUCGGUGUUCCCAACGAUUCCUUUGGAGAGAUGGCAACGACGAUCGAGACCCGGAUGUGUACGAGAUGAACGUAAUGACGUUUGGAGCAGCCUGCUCGCCGAGCGCUGCGCAUUACGUAAAGACUGUGAAUGCCCUGAAGUCAGCGAAGAAGCAUCAGUGAGCCAACUGGCGAAGGCCAGCUAUUGCAGCCACGGACGGAAACAUCCCAAAUACAAAUUGUAAAAUUAAGCGGAACGCUUUUCUGCCCGAUAGCAGUAUAGCCCGGAAAGCUAUAUGGAAAAAAAAGAAUGGGGCUAAGCCCCAAUUAAAAUCAAUCCCAAAUUUUAAAUUUAAAAAAACCUAAAUACAGGAAAUAAUAUAAUAUUAUAAGCAAAUUCGAAGAUUUUGAUGUACAAGAUAGAACCAUGAUGGGGUUGAUUGAAGGUAAAACAGUGGACUUCACUGCAAAUGUAAUUAACAACAUUGAAUCUACCAAUGUCGAUCCUUAUUUGACGAAUAUAUUUUUAUUAAUAUUAGUUGUUUAUUUUGUCUUUACAAAGACUUAUCUUACACAAAAGGUGUAUAACUAAAUGGGCUUUAAGCCAAGCUAACGAUCUAGACAAGAUCUAAUUUUAUCAAACCACAAACAAUUGUGUUAAAAAUAUAUUCGAAAAAAAAAAAAAUCUCUUUACUCGUACGUACAAGAAGCGUAAAUUAAUGAGCAAAAUUAAUUGACUAUCAGAAAUCACAGAAAAUGAGAUUAAAAAAAAUUAAAACUAAAAAAUCAAAAAAUAAACAUAAUUGAUUUUACAAAUAAAAAAUUUCAAUUUACUAAAAAAUGUAUUAAACAAAGCUAUAAAUAUGAACACUCAAGAGUGUAUAAGAAUUUCGUUAGAUAGGGAACCAGAUUUUGAGAAUGGGGUAUUAUCGAUAGUCAGAAAAAAAGAAAAGACUUUUUCAUAAGUAUAUGGAUAAGCCCAACUUAACUUUUUCCCCCCUUAUCCAUUGCAAUAGAACUCAGAAGGUAAUGGUACUAUCUACUAUUAGAAAGUGGAAAAUAUUUUCUGAAAUAAAUACAAACCCAAAGGAAUAAAAUCAAAAAAUAAUAAUUACAAUAAAUAUUUAGUAUGGAAUGGGAGCAACUAACUCUCCAUACCCGAGAAAUCAAAGAAACUUUUGACAAGUAAAAGACGCAAUAGACAAUAUAUUGCCAGGCGAGGUAGCUGCCCAAAUUCGAUAGGAAGAAAAUUCAUCUCCAACGAUUCAUCACGGCAAUAAAAUUGGUCAAUAUAAAGGACCAAAUGAAGAAAACAGGUAAUUAAAUCAAAAAUAAUCCUUCUAUUAUGUAAAUUGCAAGAAACAUCAUAUAUCGACCAAGGAUUAAAUGCUGAACAUGUUUACAAAUUCAGGCAAAAAAAGUUAUAUCCACUUUGAUAAAGAUAUGCAAAAGCGGAAAAACUAAACAAAAUUUUGAAGCUAGCUCAUUUAGUAGUAUGAAUGACACUAUAACACUGACAUAUGUAACACUGCAGUAAUCAAGAAACAAAUAUUCACAGUGUAAUGUAUACAAAUAACCGAAGUAGUUAUUAUAGAGGCAAUUGCAGAGUAAACUAUCGCGGUAACCACUAUAUCCAAUUCUAGUAAUACUUUUGUCCGCAUUUUAAACGCAACCGAUACCAAUAAAAUUAUAAACAUUUCU
This is a long non-coding RNA of Drosophila biarmipes, 2445 nucleotides long. RefSeq lists it as uncharacterized. The record is from RefSeq and is a predicted model, not a curated record. Lineage: Eukaryota; Metazoa; Arthropoda; Insecta; Diptera; Drosophilidae. The transcript is spliced from 4 exons.